GAUGAACGCUGGCGGCGUGCCUAAUACAUGCAAGUCGAGCGAACGGACGAGAAGCUUGCUUCUCUGAUGUUAGCGGCGGACGGGUGAGUAACACGUGGAUAACCUACCUAUAAGACUGGGAUAACUUCGGGAAACCGGAGCUAAUACCGGAUAAUAUUUUGAACCGCAUGGUUCAAAAGUAAAAGACGGUCUUGCUGUCACUUAUAGAUGGAUCCGCGCUGCAUUAGCUAGUUGGUAAGGUAACGGCUUACCAAGGCAACGAUGCAUAGCCGACCUGAGAGGGUGAUCGGCCACACUGGAACUGAGACACGGUCCAGACUCCUACGGGAGGCAGCAGUAGGGAAUCUUCCGCAAAGGGCGAAAGCCUGACGGAGCAACGCCGCGUGAGUGAUGAGGGUCUUCGGAUCGUAAAACUCUGUUAUUAGGGAAGAACAUAUGUGUAAGUAACUGUGCACAUCUUGACGGUACCUAAUCAGAAAGCCACGGCUAACUACGUG
This 497-nucleotide ribosomal RNA is filed under the name uncultured bacterium. RNAcentral describes it as "partial 16S ribosomal RNA". It matches the Rfam family "Bacterial small subunit ribosomal RNA", at positions 28 to 507 of the family's 1533-position model. The record is from RNAcentral.